UGUGUGUGUGUGUGUAAGGGAGAGAGGGAGUGUGUCUGCGUGUGUAAGACAGAGAGGAAAAAGAGGGAGUGAGAACGGCAAGAAGGAGAGAAGAUGUUGGUGUGUGCGACACAGGGACUUCUAAAGAACCAGCAGGUUGUGUGUAGCUUCGGUGAUUCUGCUGUGCCUGGACAGUAAGCUCUGGGCAUAGCAACAGCAAAGUGAUGCACAGAAAAGGUGCCAUGUGUGAUUGGCCAGCAUACCCUGUGGCAGUGGCAUCGCCCUGGAUUUGGCGAGAAGCUCUCCCCCCUGCUUGUUCUCUGGGGCUCCUUUGGGAAGCUUUCAUGGGAUUUAUCUUGUCCUGCUGGAUGGCACGGAGCUCUCUGCCUCUCUGAAAAGAGUCCACAGAGAAAACAUACAUUACACGGAUAAGAAGUAAAAUAAUUAUCCAAUCACAGCACAAGCAGGCAGACCGGGUUCCCUUAGCAACAACUGAAGGAGACGAGAGAAUCCUUUUCUCUUUCUGCUCCUUUGGUUUUUGGGCACACCCCUGUGGACAGCUGUGGGUCAGUCUUUUGAGAAAGGACUUCAAAAACAUUUUUACAUAAGACAAGCUAUCACCGAAAUUCCAGAGGAAGGUGCUCAUUUGCCUUCAAGUCAGCUUGUUACUGUGUCUCAUUGGCACAAUGAGUUUUUUGUUAUGCCUCCACAAAUUCGCAUCGCAAGUCACACUGCACUGGCUUAGAAAUCACUUCAUUUUGAUCCCACGCCACCUGG
Astatotilapia calliptera (eastern happy) is the source of this 756-nucleotide long non-coding RNA. Lineage: Eukaryota; Metazoa; Chordata; Actinopteri; Cichliformes; Cichlidae. The record is from Ensembl.